Molecule: transfer RNA, 96 nt
Filed under: Deltaproteobacteria bacterium
Lineage: Bacteria; Pseudomonadati; Myxococcota; Myxococcia
Also listed under: 1 other name
Description: tRNA-Sec
Rfam family: Selenocysteine transfer RNA
Source: RNAcentral
GGAGGUGCUCGACAAGCUGGUGCUGUCCCCGGUCUUCAAAACCGGUGUGGGGUGCGAGGAGCAUCCUGGGCAGGUUCGAUUCCUGUGCGCCUCCGC